GUGCACUGGAAGUGAUGUACCUUACAGAACACUUUCCCCUCGAACCAGGAGACAGGAGACACUUUGGGGAGGCAGCGUCCAUGAAACAGAGCCUAUGCAGGAUAGACACACUCCUUGUGGCAGGAGUGUAUAAAAACUUGGGCACGGUUGGCUUGGCUUGUACAGUGCGAGACAGGAAGUCUGGAGAUCCUCAUUAUGCUCUUGAGUUCCCAUCCAACCUGGUUUGACCGGCGCUUUACACUUGCGGGUUAGCCUUUGCACAGGAGAGGACAAGCGGCCUGUGUAUCUCUGCUGAAGGUGGACUAACUGACCCUGAGUUUAUGGCACUGAGUCUGCAUGAUUUUUGAAA
Molecule: long non-coding RNA, 349 nt
Filed under: Struthio camelus australis
Lineage: Eukaryota; Metazoa; Chordata; Aves; Struthioniformes; Struthionidae
Description: lncRNA (ENSSCUG00000017749.1)
Source: RNAcentral